UCUCUCUCACACACACACACACACACACACACACACACACACACACAGAGUUUACUUGUGGUGUUCACCAUGUUUUCCUGAGCAUGGGACCUGCCCUUAAUUGUAUUUGUAUAUCCAGUAAGAUACUCUUGGAGAAAUUAAUUUUUUCCUUCAUAGGCAGUUGUUAGUUAUAGCUUUGGGUUAGGGAUGAGAGCUUAUGUCUCCUUCCCCCACCUCAGUACUGAGAACCAUCUGGUUUGGACCUGCAUAGGCCCUGUGCGCUGCCACAGUCUGUCAGCUCAUAUGUGCAUCAGUUCUGUUGGGCCUGGAAGGCACUGUUCCCUUGGAGCCCUCCAUCCCCUCUGGCUCCACCUCCUCAUCUGCAUAGUUCCUGUUACCAUUUAGGGCUGAGUGUUCCAAUGUCUUUCACUAUCUGCACAAUGUCCAGUUGUUGAGUCUCUGUAUUUAUUCCCAUCUACUAAAGAGGGAAGCUUCUCUGAUGAUGGCUGAGCAAGGUGCUGAUCUGUGAGUACAGCAGAGUGACAUUGGGAAUUGUUGUAUUGCUAUAGCCCUUGAGCAGAACAAUAGUUUCCCCCUAGGUCAUGGUUUAUGUAGUCUCAGGUUCCUGGCCACCAAGUCAGCGUGAGGCAUGGGCUCUAUCCCAUGCAGUUCUUUAAAUCCAGAGAGUGUGGGUUACUUCUACAACCUUAGUGCCGCCAUUGCCCCAGCAUCUCAUGCAGGAAGGUCACCAUUGCAGAUAAAAAGAUUUGUAUCUGGGUUGGUGUUCACCUUUCUCCUCUGAUAGCAUGCAGAGUACCUCCCAGAACCACGGACACUAGUCUGCAGGGCCAAAGGCACCAGCAUGACCUCUCCGUGUUCAGUGAGUUAUGUAGGUGUUGUCUUCAGCAAGGGAGACUGCCUAUCAGUCUAUGGACAGCUAUCAGUAACCAGAGUUGUCUGGGGGGUUCGCUUGGAAGAUUUCUAAGGAUAAGAAUGUGUUUCAGGUGACUGCCCAGUACUCUGGUUAGUAACUUAAUUGCUUUGGGAUGCGACUGCUAGAUCCUACCGAGUAACAGCACAGAUGUCCUUCACUGGUGUGGGACACACCUGCACUAGAUAACUCUUCAUUCACUUUUCUGAAAGUCAAAAUCAGACAGAACUGGCCAUCUUAUCCCUGAUCUGACCACCCCAGUCCCAGGUGCCUGGAGUAUGAGGUCACAGCAGGGGGCACUCAGGCUAACUUCAAUGCAGGACUGGAUUGAGGCCCUCUGAAAUGAAGAGCCAAAGAACAGCUUUCUUCCCACACAAUUUCCCUCAAGGUUCCCCUUACAGUGACACACAAGUAAUUAGCACCAACUGGCAGCAGGCAGCAAAGCUUCACAGAUCCCCUGCACGUGGAGACUUCAGUCUACUUUAAGCCUUUGUACUUUCCCACAUUUGGGCCAGAUGCUAGCUCAUUGUAAGCAACAUCUUUGCACAUCAAGAUGCUUAUCAGCGUCCCUUGCCUCACCUGCUGGAGCCUGAUCAUUCUCAGUGGUGUUAACUGGAAAUGUCCCCAGACAGCUUCAGUGUACCCCAGAUGCAGUCACUGCGAUUGAUCCACUACUCUCCAGAUGCAGUCACUGCGAUUGAUCCACUACUCCCCAGAUGCAGUCACUGCGAUUGAUCCACUACUCCCCAGAUGCAGUCACUGCGAUUGAUCCACUACUCUAGCAGAGCACCUGCCUAGUGUGCAUGGAACCCUGCCUUCUAUUUCCAGUACUACAUAAACCAGACAUGAUGAACAAGCCCUGCAAUCCCAGCAUUCAGGAGACAAGCAAGAAGAGUGUUGUGAAUUUGAGGCCAGCAUAGGCUACAUAGUGAGUUCUAGGCCAACCUGGGCCACUGUGUCUUGAAACAAAAAAAAAAAAAAAAAACAAACAAAAACAAAAAUUGCUAUGGCAACAGGAACUGGAGGACUGAGUAGAUUUUCAUGGUGUCAUGAAUCUGAACCCAGCUGUGUGUAUCCUCAGGGCUGUGGUGAUGAGAAUGUGCACGACACACAAUGACAGACACACGUGUUGACACAUGUGCUCAUCAUUCUGGAAAUGACAAUGUCAGUAAGACUGUGACCCCCUCGCCCCACAAGUCCUGCAAAGGAGGACUUUCUGUGGUCUCAAAAGCCACUGGGGCCUACAAUCUGUUCCUUGGUGUAUAGACACAGGACUCCCAACAUGGCCUCUGUCUUCCCAUGGUCUUCUCUUCUGUCCCCACUUCUCUGUGUCUUAAACCUCUCCCACUUUUAGAACAGCAGUCAUUGGAGUUAGAGCCUAACAAACUUUCCGGAUGCUUAACUAAGUCUACACAAUCUAGUUGGGUGUGGUGACUAUAGUCCCAGGACACUGGCUGCUGAUGCAGGACUAUGAGAAUUCAAAUCUAGUUAGUUACAUAGCAAGACCCCAUCAAUCAAUCAACCAAUCAUCAAUCAAUCAAGCAAGCAAGCAUUAAUCAAUCACAUAACAGUUUGAUUUUCCUGCCAAUCACACUUGUUCCCCACAAAAGCAAAUAUGUUCAUUGAAAAACUGCUGUCAAUGAUAAAGCCAGUACCUACUGAGCUUCACACAUCUCUGCUAUGCUCGGAUUUGGAGAAGCAGAUGAAUGGGCUUAUUUGGAAAGGAGAACUUACCUUGUGGUUUCUCCAUCUUGGGAGGAAGUUCUGUGAAAAACAAAAAAAAAAUUUUUUUUUUGAAAUACUUUUUCCCAAAAUAUUUUGGAUACUUAGAAUUACCCCCUAUCUGAUGCCCCAGUGGUGCCUAACAUGGGAACACUGGGAGCUGAGUCAGCCCGAGCAAACAGCUGGCCUUCACCCAUUGGUCUUCCUCUGUGGUUCUGUAGAUGACCAUCAGAUAUGUUUAUCCUCAAUCUCUCCAGACAUGAUAAGCCCAAAUUGAGUGUCUAUUGAAUAUACAAUGCUUACCUAUGGGAAGGAUUGGCCAACAGGCUCCCAAGAGGACACAAAGAACAGUGAGUGAGCCAGCUCAUAGGCCCCGAAGCUGAGUAUAUAGUGGCUGGUUGACUCUAGAUGAGCCAGUUCAGGGGCAGAAACAGAUGUAAAGGACAAGACAGGAUGGUCCAUACGAAAUCAGAGUCCAGAAACUCAGGACAUGCUGUCCAGGAGAGCAUGCACAAAUGUGAUCACCACCCUUUCCCUACUUUAGAGAAACUUAUACUUUAACCUAUACAUAUCCUUGCAUCUUAUAUAUACACAUAGCAAACUGAAUUCUGGGUAAAUGGACUUCAAAGAAUAAACUCACCUCUUCUCUAGAAGUGCCCACUCCAGUAAAGGCAAAGAGAGGGACAAAGGGAAGAUGAGAAGUCCAAGCCCUUGACCAAGGUGUUGUCAUUGCUUGGCCCACUCACCCCCUUCCGAGGAAUAGAUUUCUCCUGUUGUUGCUUGCCCUGACUGCUGAACUCUUUACUGCUUAUUUCACUAUUGUCUUUCUUGUGAAGUCUUCUCUUUCAGAGUGGUGAGGUGCGUCUGGGGUUACACCAGAGGAAGCUGAAGACUUUCCUGUCCUAGGACAUCCUUAUGGUGUUGAGUUACAGCCAUGAGCACCACACCCAGGUUGCCACUGCCUGAUGGGAGAUCAGAAGCGAUGAAUUUGUCAUUAGAACUAUCAGUUUUCUCUGGGAAAUGACUGGAAAUCCCUGUGGCACACUGUGUGGUAGCAAGGAGAAAAUGCCUGCAGGAACAUACGUCCAGAAGCUGUGGUGGCUUAAGUGUCAUCAUCAUUGCGGGUGAGGCUGAGACUUCAGGACUCUGGACUCAUUCAUGAGAUGAAUUCCUUUGAAAUAGCAGACUUGAAUCCCUAAAGAUAUAACUAGAGAGGAGGUGUGGGAAGGAGGACACUCCAAAGUCCAAAGCAAGUUUCUGCUUGCUACAAACAGCUGUGCAGAUUGCUCCACCUUGGCCAAGUGUGGCCAUGCAUACAUGUAACUCUGCACUGGGGAGAGGCUGAAGCAAGAGGACAGUGAGCUUGUAGCCAGCCUGUACAGUGAUAUCCUGUCUCAAAAACCAAACACCCUGGUCCUGCGCCUUGAAAUCCUCACUGGUGAAAGUAGAUGUCACAGUAGCCUUGGAAACCAUGAGGCUUUGAAGGCCAUACCCUGCUUCCUUGGUCUCCCUCGCUUUGCCUCCCUAGAACUUAGCUGCCAUAUAAAAGGGUGAGAGCUACCUGGAUGUCUUUGAUGAAAAUCAUUACAACAAAGCUACUUCUGAUAAAAAGAACAGAAUCUAAGUUCUACCUCCAGCCUGGAUGGAGACCUGACCUGAGCUGCCUAAAAUACCCUGUACAGUUGUCUCAUUCAGCUGGGCCUGUCUGUCUGUCACCUACCUAGGAGCCCACCUGCCCCAGGAAACCUGAGUACUCCAAGACUGGAUAAAGGGAAGGGAAGACGAAUAAUCCCCAGAUGAGAUAAUACACUCUUCCUUCCCAGAAGUGCCUCCCGGGACAGCCGCCAGCAUAGCUUCCACCCCAUAGCACUUCAGAGUACUAACCUUUCCUUUUCCUUCUUAGCUGAUUUGGAUAUUGCAUUAGUUACUUUUCUAACUUCAUGAUAAGACAACAUGCCCAAGGCAUUUAUAAAAGAAAAUGUUUAAAUGUGCCAAGGUGGUGGUGGAACCAGGGCCUGGCAGCAGGACCAGCCGAGAGCUCACAUGUCACACUGCAAACAGGAAGCAGAGAGCCCACUGAGAAUGACACCAGGCUUUUGAGACCUCCAAACCUGCCCCUCCUCCAACAAGGCCACACCUCCCAGUCCUUCUCAAACCAUCCGACCAACUGGAGACUAAGCAUUCAAACCUUGGAGCCUGUAAGGAUGAUU
Molecule: long non-coding RNA, 4842 nt
Organism: Mus musculus (house mouse)
Lineage: Eukaryota; Metazoa; Chordata; Mammalia; Rodentia; Muridae
Product: predicted gene, 41420
Exons: 2
Source: RefSeq, a predicted model, not a curated record